UUAUUUCAAAAUUUGAAAUCCAAAAAUGGUAGUUAUUCCUAAAUCUCGGAAAUCAUCGGCAUUCAUCUUUUUUUUUCUCUACUGAUUCGAAAAUGGUAGGUUCAACUAUCAUGGACAUUCUAAAAGAAACCCUAGCCACAAAUCUCCUACCACCUCCUCAAUCACUCUUCAUCAUUUGGUAUUCAACUAGCAAAGCGUCUUCCAGCCACAGACAUCCUCUGGUUAAUCGGUGGAUUCUUCUUCUUGUAGGUCUGACGACUUCAUCUUCUUCAGGCUGUCUUGAAAAUUGAUCCUUCGAGUCUAUGGUUCGACAGUCUAUGAUUGAAAUUGAUCUACAUUUUCCUAUUUGAACGUACAAAUUAACAGGAUAUAGCCUUUAGUGGUGGCAAACCAAGAAAAUGAAGAAACAAUAAUAAUGCCCAGAUAAGUUUUUUUUUUUUUAAAGUAUAAUGUUAUAAUAGGUAGAAUUUUUGAAGUCUAAUGCCUUAGUAGAAAAAAAACCGUAAGGAACAGUGUAGUAAUAGAAAGAAAUAUUUGUUAUACCAUAAUACACAAAAUAAAUGAAGAGACUCUACGAUUUCUUACAUUUAUCCCUUAACUUAAAUUUGCUUUUAUAUUAAAAUUUACAACAUCUUUGUGCACUAUUGUAUAGUUAUGGUCAUGGAUUAGGACAGUUGGAAAUUCAAAUAUUUUUUCAUAACAAAGGCUGCGUUAAGAGGUUGUAUUUGAGAAAAAAUGUUAAGAUGAGAUUUUUAUGUUAGGUAAUAUGCAAGGUGAAGAGAUUUGUAAUGCUUAGUUUUUAAUUAGUUUUCUUUUUCUUUUGAAAUGUGACUACUCUUUAAUGUAUAGGUAGAGGCACUUUCUAAAUAAAGAAAAUGCUAUAGGGGUUGGCAACUUAGUUUCAUCAUAUAACAAUAUUCUUUCUCAAUAUGGUAACUUAGUUUCAUCAAAAAAAUAUCACAAUCCCCAUAAUAACCAAAUACUCCUGCAAUUCCAUUUUUUACUUGAGCCGAGCAUUUAGCAAAUUGAUAGUUUUUGAUAGUUAUUUCAAUGUGCUUUUGGUCUAGGUUUCAAUCACACUUUGGUUUCAAAAUCUCAGCAGGUUAUAUUGAAGUUGGAGGAAGAUUGAUCAUGAUACUAAUAUAGUUAGCUAUGCUGGAAAUGACAUCUUUACCCCUGGUGUUGUUGGGAAACCUUUUUUUUCUUUGAAGUUAACAAAUUUACCCCUGGGUUGGACCUUCUCAGUUCCUAUCUUUGGUUGGUGAUGUUGCAUUAUCCAACUACAGUGGUUUGUCAUUGUUUUACGUCGAUUUCUGAAUCGGAUUGAACCGGUCGGUCUUUAGAAAAAUCCGGUUGAACCGGUUAAACCGAAUUAAAAACAUUUGGAAAAGAACCAUUUGUAUAAUAAACUUUUGUGAUUUUUUUCAAAUCUAUUUUGUUUUCUCUAAA
This is a non-coding RNA of Lactuca sativa (garden lettuce), 1449 nucleotides long. Lineage: Eukaryota; Viridiplantae; Streptophyta; Magnoliopsida; Asterales; Asteraceae. The record is from RefSeq and is a predicted model, not a curated record.